GAACGCACAUUGCGCCUCCUGGUAUUCCGGGAGGCACGCCUGUCCGAGCGCCAUUACACCCCCCAAGCCUUGCUUGAUGUUGGGCCAUGACGUGCUGUCAAGCCCCAAACCUUUAGGCGCCCCCCACUGGCCGCGAGCGUAGCAAGAAUUUUUUUCCUCGCUUCGCGUGUCCGAUGGGCGGGUCGCCGACUGACCCCCUAAAUUUUUUAAGGUUUGGCCUCGGAUCAGGCGGGGAUACCCGCUGAACUUAAG
RNAcentral lists this unclassified non-coding RNA (252 nucleotides) under uncultured Ascomycota. Its description in RNAcentral is "sequence contains 5.8S rRNA gene". Lineage: Eukaryota; Fungi; Ascomycota. The record is from RNAcentral.